GAAAUAGAACCUGAAACCGUAUGCCUACAAGGUAUGGAAGCACUAUUAAAAGUGUGACCGUGUGCCUUUUGUAGAAUGAGCCGGCGAGUUAAUUUACGUAGCAAGGUUAAGGCAGCACAUGCCGGAGCCGAAGCGAAAGCGAGUCUCAAAACGGGCGCUUAAGUUGCGUGGAUUAGACCCGAAGCCAGGUGAUCUAGCCAUGACCAGGUUGAAGGCUGAGUAAAAUCAGUUGGAGGACCGAACCCACGUAUGUUGAAAAAUGCGGGGAUGAGUUGUGGCUAGGGGUGAAAGGCCAAUCAAACCUGGAUAUAGCUGGUUCUCUCCGAAAUGGCUUUACGGCCAGCGUCAGUUGUUUCAUUGCGGGGGUAGAGCUACUGAUUGGGCUAGGCGGC
This 392-nucleotide ribosomal RNA is filed under the name Thalassiosira minuscula. Its description in RNAcentral is "partial Bacterial large subunit ribosomal RNA". It matches the Rfam family "Bacterial large subunit ribosomal RNA", at positions 540 to 927 of the family's 2925-position model. Lineage: Eukaryota; Bacillariophyta; Thalassiosirophyceae; Thalassiosirales; Thalassiosiraceae. The record is from RNAcentral.